RNAcentral lists this ribosomal RNA (215 nucleotides) under uncultured fungus. Its description in RNAcentral is "partial small subunit ribosomal RNA". The stretch from base 92 to 215 matches the Rfam family "Eukaryotic small subunit ribosomal RNA", at positions 738 to 864 of the family's 1831-position model. The record is from RNAcentral. Lineage: Eukaryota; Fungi.
GCUCUGGUUGAGUGGUCCGCCAAUAGGUUGGUACUGCUUCGACUGGGGCUCUCCUUCUGGUGAGCCGUCAUGCUCUUAACUGGGUGUGGCGAGGAACCAGGACUUUUACCUUGAAAAAAUUAGAGUGUUUAAAGCAGGCGCACGCUUGAAUACAUUAGCAUGGAAUAAUAAUUUAGGACUUUGCUCCUAUUUUAUUGGUUUCUAGGGGUGAAGUA